RNAcentral lists this ribosomal RNA (629 nucleotides) under uncultured bacterium. RNAcentral describes it as "bacterial SSU rRNA". It matches the Rfam family "Bacterial small subunit ribosomal RNA", at positions 56 to 731 of the family's 1533-position model. The record is from RNAcentral.
UGCAAGUCGAGCGGGCCUUUCGGGGUCAGCGGCGGACGGGUGAGUAACGCGUGGGAACGUGCCCUCUGGUUCGGAAUAACUCAGGGAAACUUGAGCUAAUACCGGAUACGCCCUUUUGGGGAAAGGCUUGCUGCCGGAGGAUCGGCCCGCGUCUGAUUAGCUAGUUGGUGAGGUAACGGCUCACCAAGGCGACGAUCAGUAGCUGGUCUGAGAGGAUGAUCAGCCACACUGGGACUGAGACACGGCCCAGACUCCUACGGGAGGCAGCAGUGGGGAAUAUUGGACAAUGGGCGCAAGCCUGAUCCAGCCAUGCCGCGUGAGUGAUGAAGGCCUUAGGGUUGUAAAGCUCUUUUAUCCGGGACGAUAAUGACGGUACCGGAGGAAUAAGCCCCGGCUAACUUCGUGCCAGCAGCCGCGGUAAUACGAAGGGGGCUAGCGUUGCUCGGAAUCACUGGGCGUAAAGGGCGCGUAGGCGGCGUUUUAAGUCGGGGGUGAAAGCCUGUGGCUCAACCACAGAAUGGCCUUCGAUACUGGGACGCUUGAGUAUGGUAGAGGUUGGUGGAACUGCGAGUGUAGAGGUGAAAUUCGUAGAUAUUCGCAAGAACACCGGUGGCGAAGGCGGCCAACUG